GACGAACGCUGGCGGCGUGCCUAACACAUGCAAGUCGAGCGGGGAUUUAAGUGGAAGUUCUUCGGAAUGGAGAUUUAAAUUCUAGCGGCGGACGGGUGAGUAACGCGUGAACAAUCUGUCCCGGACAGGGGGAUAACACUUGGAAACAGGUGCUAAUACCGCAUAAGACCACGGCCUCGCAUGGGGCUGAGGUCAAAGGAGCAAUCCGGUUCGGGGUGAGUUCGCGUCCGAUUAGCUAGUUGGUGAGGUAACGGCCCACCAAGUCGACGAGCGGUAGCCGGCCUGAGAGGGGGAACGGCCACGUUGGAACUGGGAGGCAGUCCAAACGCCUACGGGAGGCAGCGGUGGAGAAUAUUGGACAAAGGGCGAAAGCCUGACCAAGCAACGCCGCGUGAGGGAAGAAGGUUUUCGGAAUGUAAACCUCUGUCCUAUGGGACGAAGGAAGUGACGGUACCAUAGGAGGAAGCCCCGGCUAACUACGUG
RNAcentral lists this ribosomal RNA (483 nucleotides) under uncultured bacterium. Its description in RNAcentral is "partial 16S ribosomal RNA". It matches the Rfam family "Bacterial small subunit ribosomal RNA", at positions 28 to 507 of the family's 1533-position model. The record is from RNAcentral.